This 458-nucleotide ribosomal RNA is filed under the name uncultured bacterium. RNAcentral's name for it is "partial 16S ribosomal RNA". It matches the Rfam family "Bacterial small subunit ribosomal RNA", at positions 339 to 795 of the family's 1533-position model. The record is from RNAcentral.
CCUCGGGAGGCAGCAGUGAGGAAUAUUUGUCAAUGGCCGAGAGGCUGAACCAGCCAAGUCGCGUGAGGGAAGACGGCCCUACGGGUUGUAAACCUCUUUUGUCGGGGAGCAAAGCGAACCACGUGUGGUUCAUUGAGAGUACCCGAAGAAAAAGCAUCGGCUAACUCCGUGCCAGCAGCCGCGGUAAUACGGGGGAUGCGAGCUUUUGCCGGUUUUUUUGGGUUAAAAGGGGGCGCAGGCGGUGGUGCACGUUAGCGGGCAAAUUGCGGGGCUCAACCCCGUACUGCCGUUGAAACUGCAUCCCUUGAGUGCGCGAGAGGUAUGCGGAAUGCGUGGUGUAGCGGUGAAAUGCAUAGAGAUCACGCAGAACUCCGAUUGCGAAGGCAGCAUACCGGCGCGCAACUGACGCUCAGGCACGAAAGCGUGGGUAUCGAACAGGAUUAGAUACCCCUGUAGUC